UAACCACUUACCAUCAGGUAUGCUCGUC
RNAcentral lists this non-coding RNA (28 nucleotides) under Bombyx mori (domestic silkworm). Lineage: Eukaryota; Metazoa; Arthropoda; Insecta; Lepidoptera; Bombycidae. The record is from RNAcentral.